RNAcentral lists this ribosomal RNA (253 nucleotides) under uncultured bacterium. RNAcentral describes it as "partial 16S ribosomal RNA". It matches the Rfam family "Bacterial small subunit ribosomal RNA", at positions 524 to 776 of the family's 1533-position model. The record is from RNAcentral.
UACGGAGGGUGCAAGCGUUGCUCGGAAUUAUUGGGCGUAAAGAGCUCGUAGGCGGUUUGUUGCGUCUAUCGUGAAAACCUGCAGCUUAACUGUGGGCUUGCUGUGGAUACGGGCAGACUUGAGUUCGGUAGGGGAGACUGGAAUUCCUGGUGUAGCGGUGAAAUGCGCAGAUAUCAGGAGGAACACCGGUGGCGAAGGCGGGUCUCUGGGCCGAUACUGACGCUGAGGAGCGAAAGCGUGGGGAGCGAACAGG